UGGUGAACUGAGGCUCCCCGACUGUCACUCUGUCCCAGGCCCGUCCUGGCCGUGGGCACAGGCUGAGUCACAGUAGCCUGUGGGGUCCUGACCC
Molecule: microRNA precursor, 94 nt
Filed under: Canis lupus familiaris (dog)
Lineage: Eukaryota; Metazoa; Chordata; Mammalia; Carnivora; Canidae
Also listed under: 1 other name
Description: mir-8813 microRNA precursor family
Rfam family: mir-8813 microRNA precursor family
Source: Rfam by way of RNAcentral